GUGUCAGCAGCCGCGGUAAUACAGAGGGUGCAAGCGUUAAUCGGAAUUACUGGGCGUAAAGCGUGCGUAGACGGUUAUGUAAGUCGGGUGUGAAAGCCCCGGGCUCAACCUGGGAAUUGCAUUCGAGACUGCAUAGCUAGGGUUCGGAAGAGGGAAGCGGAAUUUCCGGUGUAGCGGUGAAAUGCGUAGAUAUCGGAAGGAACACCAGUGGCGAAAGCGGCUUCCUGGUCCAGAACCGACGUUCAGGCACGAAAGCGUGGGGAGCAAACAGGAUUAGAUACCCUUGUAGUCC
Molecule: ribosomal RNA, 292 nt
Filed under: uncultured bacterium
Lineage: Bacteria
Description: partial 16S ribosomal RNA
Rfam family: Bacterial small subunit ribosomal RNA
Source: RNAcentral